GAUGAACGCUAGCGGCAGGCCUAAUACAUGCAAGUUGAGCGGCAAGUCGAGGAGUAAUCUAAGACCUAGAGCGGCGCACGGGUGCGUAACGCGUAUGUAACCUACCCUAUACAGGGGGAUAGCCCGGAGAAAUCUGGAUUAAUACCCCAUGGCACUUCGAAUCAGCAUUGAUUUGCAGUUAAAGAUUUAUCGGUAUAGGAUGGACAUGCGUCUGAUUAGCUAGUUGGCGGUGUAACGGACCACCAAGGCGACGAUCAGUAGGGGUUCUGAGAGGAAGGUCCCCACACUGGCACUGAGAUACGGGCCAGACUCCUACGGGAGGCAGCAGUGAGGAAUAUUGG
This 341-nucleotide ribosomal RNA is filed under the name uncultured bacterium. RNAcentral describes it as "bacterial SSU rRNA". It matches the Rfam family "Bacterial small subunit ribosomal RNA", at positions 28 to 367 of the family's 1533-position model. The record is from RNAcentral.